This 258-nucleotide ribosomal RNA is filed under the name uncultured bacterium. RNAcentral describes it as "partial 16S ribosomal RNA". It matches the Rfam family "Bacterial small subunit ribosomal RNA", at positions 96 to 354 of the family's 1533-position model. The record is from RNAcentral.
UGGCGGACGGGUGAGUAACGCGUGGGUAACCUACCUCAUACAGGGGGAUAACAGUUGGAAACGACCGCUAAUACCGCAUAACCCGCUAGUAUCGCAUGAUACGGACGGAAAAGAUUUAUCGGUAUGAGAUGGACCCGCGUCUGAUUAGCCAGUUGGCAGGGUAACGGCCUACCAAAGCGACGAUCAGUAGCCGGCCUGAGAGGGUGAACGGCCACAUUGGGACUGAGACACGGCCCAAACUCCUACGGAAGGCAGCAG